Micropterus dolomieu (smallmouth bass) is the source of this 1261-nucleotide long non-coding RNA. RefSeq lists it as uncharacterized. The transcript is spliced from 3 exons. The record is from RefSeq and is a predicted model, not a curated record. NCBI's taxonomy places the organism in Eukaryota, Metazoa, Chordata, Actinopteri, Centrarchiformes, Centrarchidae.
CGUCCUUGCGUCUAAUGUUGAGUGUUCCUGCCUGUUCCUUCGUUUUCCCUGUUCUGGAUUCUUCCCUGUGUUUUUGGAUCGCCUUGUGUUUCUGGAUUUCCUUUGUUUGGACUUUGCCUCGAGCUCCAUCCCACAACCAUCUCCCUCCCACGCACUGGCCUCUCUUGUGACUUCCUCAUUUUCUCCCAGACUCCUUUCCGGUAGAUCAGGAUGCAGGAGGAUGUGUGGAUGUUGGAACAAGUCAGACCUCAGGCUCAGGCCGCCUGGAAGCAGCAGUGCUCUCUACUUCGGCGCUGGAUGACUGCAGGAUUAGACUUGCCUGGUGUGACAUUGAUAACAACUUGCAGGUACACAUAAAACAAGCAAAUGAUGCAGCAUAUGCUGCCUUCAAGUGCUCAUCAUACAUCUGAUUUUGGCAACUCUCAAUUUUGGACUGCAGGACCUUCAAGGACAUUCUGCUGUAAAAUAAAUAAAUAAGUAAUUAAUUUGUAAAGUGUUACCCAUGUCGGCAACUCCAGUAUUAUCCAAACCCCUCCCCUGUCAUAUUUAUUUACUUAGUUGGCUUAUUUAUGUGGGCUCAAUUUGUAAUUAUGAUAUCUCUGACAGCAGACAGCCAUUCAACAGCUGUGGGGGUUGUUGUGAUCCUAGCUAAGUCAUUUGAAAAAAAGCAGAGUUUGCUGUGGACAGCUGUAGAUACAGAUUAUUUUGGGGUGUUUGGAGAGCAAGGUACCAUUGGAAGUGGAGAGCCAGGCCCUCAAUGGCUCUCACUCCCCCUGUGACAAAAUGAUGGGGGGAAGGGAAAGACUCACUUAUGCUCACACAGUAUGAACAGAUACAAGGACACAUAUAGCACUCCAGGGACUACGCUGGCAUACAACUGUUCACUUCAGUAUAAAGAUUUUUGGACAGUUGAUACUGGUACAGAGACAGACAAGAAACAAGACAACAAACAAUUAAGAACAAAAAGGAUCAAAGAGGAUGUUGCGGUUAUGCAUCUUAAACAUAGCCCACUAUAAAGUAGUUUAAUGGAGAAAAAAAGCAUCCGUUCACAGCGGACUACAGUACAAUAUUUGUUUGAAGGAGUUCAAAGGGUAUCUUUUACUAUUAAAAUAUUUGAGGAUGACUUUUGAUGUUUAGUGACAUAGUUUAGUGUAGUAUAGAAUACGAUUGAACAAACCUGGCAUGUCACAUUUGUUCCACAGGUGAGAUACUCUAACAACAAGAAAGCAUUGUAAUAAUAUAAAUAGUAGAGAAACUCAGU